Paramuricea clavata is the source of this 74-nucleotide non-coding RNA. NCBI's taxonomy places the organism in Eukaryota, Metazoa, Cnidaria, Anthozoa, Malacalcyonacea, Plexauridae. The record is from the annotation of a GenBank genome assembly.
GACCACGUAGCUCAGUUGGCAGAGCAUUCGGACUAGUAUCCCAAAGGUCGCGGGUUCGACUCCCACCGUGGCCA